UACAGGGGGGGCAAGCGUUGUUCGGAAUUACUGGGCGUAAAGGGCUCGUAGGCGGCCCACUAAGUCCGACGUGAAAUCCCCAGGCUUAACUUGGGAACUGCGUCGGAUACUGGUGGGCUUGAAUCCGGGAGAGGGAUGCGGAAUUCCAGGUGUAGCGGUGAAAUGCGUAGAUAUCUGGAGGAACACCGGUGGCGAAGGCGGCAUCCUGGACCGGCAUUGACGCUGAGUGAGCGAAAGCCAGGGGAGCAAACGGG
This 254-nucleotide ribosomal RNA is filed under the name uncultured bacterium. RNAcentral describes it as "partial 16S ribosomal RNA". It matches the Rfam family "Bacterial small subunit ribosomal RNA", at positions 524 to 776 of the family's 1533-position model. The record is from RNAcentral.